AAAUUGUCCAACUUUCUGAUGUACAAUAACACUGUGAGUAUUUGUUCUUGUUUGUAGGUUCCAGUUCUCUUGGGUUCUGAGUGUCCUGUGAGAUACAGAAGUCCAGUAAUUGGGAUGCUCAGCUCUCUUGAAUUGCUUUGUUAUUAUUUCCAACUGAGACAAGAGCAACUACUUCUCUGUGUGUGAAAAUCUGGUGCACGUGUGCCUACUCAAAUGUUCUGGUCUCUGAAUUCUGCAGCAGACAAGGUUACUUACCCGAACAAUAACACGUGGUGAGAAGUCAAGCCCCAAGGAAUUGUUAAGAAGAAAUAUACCCAAAGGAUAACGUCUAUCAUGCUGCGGUUUGGCCAGCACCUCAUCAAGCCAUCUGUGGUCUUCCUGAAAACUGAGCUCUCUUAUGCUCUCGUGAACCGCAAGCCGGUGGUCCCAGGCCGUAUCCUUUUAACCAGUGCCUUGACCAUGGGUACCUGCACUCCUGGGAGAAGCAGGGAAGCUUGGUAUGCUCUUCAGGCCAGGUUUGUCCACAUCUUGAACAUUAGUCUUCAACACAGCCAUCAGAAUGUAAUAUGCAGCACACACAGGGUUAACAGCCUGGGUAAGGUACUGCAUGGCUUGCUCUUAGGGUGGGAUAUAAUUAAAAGUGAUGAUUGGAAUACAUGGUUAUUCAUAAUAGAUGUCACACAAUUACCAUAAGUAAUGCAAUACAUGCAAAAUCUCCAUUUAUAAUGAAAAU
RNAcentral lists this long non-coding RNA (733 nucleotides) under Coturnix japonica (Japanese quail). RNAcentral's name for it is "lncRNA (ENSCJPG00005016821.1)". The record is from RNAcentral. Lineage: Eukaryota; Metazoa; Chordata; Aves; Galliformes; Phasianidae.